Molecule: ribosomal RNA, 248 nt
Filed under: uncultured bacterium
Lineage: Bacteria
Description: partial 16S ribosomal RNA
Rfam family: Bacterial small subunit ribosomal RNA
Source: RNAcentral
GAUCCUGGCUCAGGAUGAACGCUAGCUACAGGCUUAACACAUGCAAGUCGAGGGGCAGCAUUUUUAUAGCAAUAUAAGAGAUGGCGACCGGCGCACGGGUGAGUAACACGCAUCCAACCUGCCGAUAACUCGGGGAUAACCCUUCGAAAGAAGGCCUAAUACCCGAUGGCAUAUCCCUUCCGCCUGGUGGGGAUAUUAAAGAACUUCGGUUAUCGAUGGGGAUGCGUUCCAUUAGCUUGUUGGCGGGG